Molecule: non-coding RNA, 950 nt
Organism: Peromyscus maniculatus bairdii (prairie deer mouse)
Lineage: Eukaryota; Metazoa; Chordata; Mammalia; Rodentia; Cricetidae
Source: RefSeq, a predicted model, not a curated record
GUCUUUGAUACAUUUUGAAUAGAUGUUGUUGAUAUCUGUCUAAUAGACACAUAUUUUUCUCAGUUUUCAAAGUCAGCCUCACUUUUCCUGAGUGUGUCUUCCACAGCACCUUGUCCCAAGAUGUACCUGGUAUUCUUAUUUGAAAUGUAAAUUCCAUGCCCCACCUCCAUUUUAGGCCUGGGAAAUUAGAAUAAGGCAGCAGGAAUCUGGAUUAGAAUGAGCUCUGAUCUAUAUUUUAGUGAGUAACGAUCAUGAAAGUCUAAGAAACACUCAGCAGGAUCCUUGUCCAAAAACCCACUAAUAAAUAAACAAAAAUUGCAACAUUUUUUUGAGGGCAUUCAUUGCAGUUGGCAAGAAUAGCAGCUGCUCUUCUCCAGAAUCCUGAUGCAUUCACACCAUUACCAAAAUGGUCUGAGGACUGAAGUCAGUGAUACAGGGAGAGUCAACUGGAGAAUCUAGCAGUGAUGGAACCCAAGGCAGUCUCACUGUGGAUCUGGAGCUAAGGGAACUCUUCGUCUCCAUCCACCGUGCACAGAAGUGCAGACGUGCAAGAAGGCAGAGCUGCGAUCCGCCUCAGCAUUGUGCUUACGGUGGGAGGGCAGACAUACCUGCUGAUAGGAAUUAAACAGGCCUUCAGUGAAGUUACUCAGGACCUCCAGAUCUCCACAAAACCUGCAGAGAGAGGGGUAUUGGAGCACCACCAGCAACACAAGGAAACUGUGUUACAUCCACUUGGUAGUCUUACUGCUAUUGGCUGUUGCGGUGGCUCUCUUCUUUAUAACAACCCCAAACAAAACGAUCUAACAACAACACAGAACCAGACCAAAGGGACCACACCAUGCCAGCUGGAUCCGCUUUCUUGGAGGUCUUCAACUUCUGGUUUCUUACUAAGAGAAUGUGUUCUUCCAGGACUCUACAAAAGAACCAUCCUUGCCAUGUAUUCAAACUAA